UGGCAAAUGGCCCUCUACAAGACUGAGUGGU
Molecule: non-coding RNA, 31 nt
Filed under: Rattus norvegicus (Norway rat)
Lineage: Eukaryota; Metazoa; Chordata; Mammalia; Rodentia; Muridae
Source: RNAcentral